RNA transcript from Tigriopus californicus, 736 nucleotides. RefSeq lists it as uncharacterized. Lineage: Eukaryota; Metazoa; Arthropoda; Copepoda; Harpacticoida; Harpacticidae. The transcript is spliced from 6 exons. The record is from RefSeq and is a predicted model, not a curated record.
AUAAUCUGGUUUUGGAAUGCCUGGAGAAGCCAAUUGAUCAUUCGAAGUUAAGCAGACCUGGACAUUAGAAAAACUAGUUACUGUAAAGUUCCUACUUGUCAAUUGCUCCAAAGCUUUUCUCAAAACACCAACAAUGAAAUUGAUUAUAAGCAUUGCUUUGCUUUGUAUGGUAAUUUUCAUCCAUGAUAGCGCUGCCAACGGUGACAAACAAAGCCGAGAAAGGCCAACUCCACCUUGUCCUGAAGGAUGGAAGGUACUGAAGGCCAACCCUGAGAAAUGUGUCCGCCGAAAAAACCCUGCCAUCCUUACGCCAUGUCCUGAAGGUUGGCAAGAGAGUGAGUUGAAUCCCGGAACAUGUGAAAAGGCUCCAAGAACAGAAGAGACCAAUGUAGUUGAUCCUACUCCACCUUGCCCUAAAGUGGUACGGGUUGUCGAUGACCAAUACCAGGGUUGAUACCAAAGGGAUGAUGAUACUAUAGCGAUGAGACAAACAUCGAUGGCGUGGCAGGCAGAGUACUCAUCAGGAUGGAAGGUGAGCAAAAAGAACCCGGAAAAAUGCGUGGCUAAGCGCCCAAAGAAGAAUCAAGAUGAUGAGGAAUAACGAAUAAAGAAGCAAUCCAAUGUCGAGUUUUUGGCCAAUCAAUGAUAUUUGUGAUGAAAUAGCUAUGCGAACGUUCCGCACAAUUUCUUCAUUUGGUAUUAUUGAAGUACAAUAAAGCUGUUUCAUGAUAUCAAA